RNAcentral lists this ribosomal RNA (253 nucleotides) under uncultured bacterium. RNAcentral describes it as "partial 16S ribosomal RNA". It matches the Rfam family "Bacterial small subunit ribosomal RNA", at positions 524 to 776 of the family's 1533-position model. The record is from RNAcentral.
UACGUAGGGGGCAAGCGUUGUCCGGAAUCAUUGGGCGUAAAGAGCGCGUAGGCGGCCCGAUAAGUCCGCUGUGAAAGUCAAGGGCUUAACCCUUGAAUGCCGGUGGAAACUGUCGGGCUAGAGUCCGGAAGAGGCGAGUGGAAUUCCGGGUGUAGUGGUGAAAUGCGUAGAGAUCCGGAGGAACACCAGUGGCGAAGGCGACACGCUGGGCCGUACCUGACGCUGAUACGCGACAGCAUGGGGAGCGAACGGG